This 253-nucleotide ribosomal RNA is filed under the name uncultured bacterium. RNAcentral's name for it is "partial 16S ribosomal RNA". It matches the Rfam family "Bacterial small subunit ribosomal RNA", at positions 524 to 776 of the family's 1533-position model. The record is from RNAcentral.
UACGGAAGGGGCAAGCGUUGUUCGGAAUCAUUGGGCGUAAAGGGCGCGCAGGUGGCUCUGUAUGUCUGCCGUGAAAGCAUACAGCUCAACUGUAUUGUGUCGGUAGAAACUGCAGGACUUGAGGCUGGGAGGGGCUGGUGGAAUUCCCUGUGUAGCGGCGAAAUGCGUAGAGAUGGGGGAGAACACUCGUGGCGAAGGCGGCCAGCUAGACCAGUUCUGACACCGAGGCGCGACAGCGUGGGGAGCAAACAGG